RNAcentral lists this ribosomal RNA (1365 nucleotides) under uncultured bacterium. Its description in RNAcentral is "16S ribosomal RNA". It matches the Rfam family "Bacterial small subunit ribosomal RNA", at positions 35 to 1395 of the family's 1533-position model. The record is from RNAcentral.
GCUAGCUACAGGCUUAACACAUGCAAGUCGAGGGGCUGCAUGGUCUUAGCUUGCUAAGGCCGAUGGCGACCGGCGCACGGGUGAGUAACACGUAUCCAACCUGCCGUCUACUCUUGGACAGCCUUCUGAAAGGAAGAUUAAUACAAGAUGGCAUCAUGAGUCCGCAUGUUCACAUGAUUAAAGGUAUUCCGGUAGACGAUGGGGAUGCGUUCCAUUAGAUAGUAGGCGGGGUAACGGCCCACCUAGUCUUCGAUGGAUAGGGGUUCUGAGAGGAAGGUCCCCCACAUUGGAACUGAGACACGGUCCAAACUCCUACGGGAGGCAGCAGUGAGGAAUAUUGGUCAAUGGGCGAGAGCCUGAACCAGCCAAGUAGCGUGAAGGAUGACUGCCCUAUGGGUUGUAAACUUCUUUUAUAAAGGAAUAAAGUCGGGUAUGGAUACCCGUUUGCAUGUACUUUAUGAAUAAGGAUCGGCUAACUCCGUGCCAGCAGCCGCGGUAAUACGGAGGAUCCGAGCGUUAUCCGGAUUUAUUGGGUUUAAAGGGAGCGUAGAUGGAUGUUUAAGUCAGUUGUGAAAGUUUGCGGCUCAACCGUAAAAUUGCAGUUGAUACUGGAUAUCUUGAGUGCAGUUGAGGCAGGCGGAAUUCGUGGUGUAGCGGUGAAAUGCUUAGAUAUCACGAAGAACUCCGAUUGCGAAGGCAGCCUGCUAAGCUGCAACUGACAUUGAGGCUCGAAAGUGUGGGUAUCAAACAGGAUUAGAUACCCUGGUAGUCCACACGGUAAACGAUGAAUACUCGCUGUUUGCGAUAUACAGCAAGCGGCCAAGCGAAAGCGUUAAGUAUUCCACCUGGGGAGUACGCCGGCAACGGUGAAACUCAAAGGAAUUGACGGGGGCCCGCACAAGCGGAGGAACAUGUGGUUUAAUUCGAUGAUACGCGAGGAACCUUACCCGGGCUUAAAUUGCAGAUGAAUUACGGUGAAAGCCGUAAGCCGCAAGGCAUCUGUGAAGGUGCUGCAUGGUUGUCGUCAGCUCGUGCCGUGAGGUGUCGGCUUAAGUGCCAUAACGAGCGCAACCCUUGUUGUCAGUUACUAACAGGUUCCGCUGAGGACUCUGACAAGACUGCCAUCGUAAGAUGUGAGGAAGGUGGGGAUGACGUCAAAUCAGCACGGCCCUUACGUCCGGGGCUACACACGUGUUACAAUGGGGGGUACAGAGGGCCGCUACCACGCGAGUGGAUGCCAAUCCCCAAAACCUCUCUCAGUUCGGACUGGAGUCUGCAACCCGACUCCACGAAGCUGGAUUCGCUAGUAAUCGCGCAUCAGCCACGGCGCGGUGAAUACGUUCCCGGGCCUUGUACACACCGCCC